GACGCGGUGGUAGAGUGGUUAAUACGCACCAUUACUUGAAGGGCUGAAACCGUACGGGAGAAAUCCAUGCCUUUGACGAGAGGACCGGCGGGACCCCGGAGAAAAGUGGUGUUCCUUCGGGAGCGCAGGUUCGAAUCCUGCCUGCGUCG
Molecule: non-coding RNA, 149 nt
Organism: Myotisia sp. PD_48
Lineage: Eukaryota; Fungi; Ascomycota; Eurotiomycetes; Onygenales
Source: the annotation of a GenBank genome assembly